GGCUCUGUGGUGAAAGUUUCAUAGUGAGUUGCAAGCUCAUUGAUGCAUGUUAAGAGUGCCAGAGUCU
Molecule: transfer RNA, 67 nt
Filed under: Goura cristata (Western crowned-pigeon)
Lineage: Eukaryota; Metazoa; Chordata; Aves; Columbiformes; Columbidae
Also listed under: 1 other name
Description: tRNA-Cys
Source: RNAcentral